UACAGAGGUCUCAAGCGUUGUUCGGAUUCAUUGGGCGUAAAGGGUGCGUAGGCGGCGCGGUAAGUCGGGUGUGAAAUCUCGGGGCUUAACUCCGAAACUGCAUUCGAUACUGCCGUGCUUGAGGACUGGAGAGGAGACUGGAAUUUACGGUGUAGUGGUGAAAUGCGUAGAUAUCGUAAGGAAGACCAGUGGCGAAGGCGGGUCUCUGGACAGUUCCUGACGCUGAGGCACGAAGGCCAGGGGAGCAAACGGG
RNAcentral lists this ribosomal RNA (253 nucleotides) under uncultured bacterium. Its description in RNAcentral is "partial 16S ribosomal RNA". It matches the Rfam family "Bacterial small subunit ribosomal RNA", at positions 524 to 776 of the family's 1533-position model. The record is from RNAcentral.